AUGCAACUACUACCUAAGAACGCACACCCAGCAUCUAACAACAAAAAAGGUCAGCGAAAUCAAACGCCCAGGCUAGCAGAAACAAAAUCAACAGGGGAAUUAGAUCCACCGUUUCAUCCAUGCACCUAUCACUGUAACAUUGUAGUAGCAGGAAAAAAUCGCCAGGAAAAUCCACCACUAAGACUACACAUACACCCACAUCUACAUCAAACACAAGGGAAUCGAAUCAAACCAGAAGAUCUAGAAGAAAUUCAACGGGGAAAGGGAGAAGACCCGGAUAACGAACUGAAAUCACACGACACUGGAGCGGAAAUCAAUCUGAAAGAAGAGGAGGAUGAGGAGAUCGGAAUCACCAUGGAUGACGAGGAAAUCGCCAAGAACUGCCUCCCUCUCUCAUCUUUAACUCUCGCGAAGAAAUGA
Molecule: ribosomal RNA, 420 nt
Filed under: Triticum aestivum (bread wheat)
Lineage: Eukaryota; Viridiplantae; Streptophyta; Magnoliopsida; Poales; Poaceae
Description: partial small subunit ribosomal RNA
Source: RNAcentral